RNAcentral lists this ribosomal RNA (253 nucleotides) under uncultured bacterium. RNAcentral describes it as "partial 16S ribosomal RNA". It matches the Rfam family "Bacterial small subunit ribosomal RNA", at positions 524 to 776 of the family's 1533-position model. The record is from RNAcentral.
UACAGGGGGGGCAAGCGUUGUUCGGAAUUACUGGGCGUAAAGGGGUAGUAGGCGGCCAACUAAGUCGAACGUGAAAUCCCCGGGCUCAACCCGGGAACUGCGUCCGAUACUGGAAGGCUUGAAUCCGGGAGAGGGAUGCGGAAUUCCAGGUGUAGCGGUGAAAUGCGUAGAUAUCUGGAGGAACACCGGUGGCGAAGGCGGCAUCCUGGACCGGCAUUGACGCUGAGGCGCGAAAGCCAGGGGAGCAAACGGG